GGGGCGUCAGCGACCUGCAGUCGAGCGGUAGAGAGAAGCUUGCUUCUCUUGAGAGCGGCGGACGGGUGAGUAAUGCCUAGGAAUCUGCCUGGUAGUGGGGGAUAACGUUCGGAAACGAACGCUAAUACCGCAUACGUCCUACGGGAGAAAGCAGGGGACCUUCGGGCCUUGCGCUAUCACAUGAGCCUAGGUCGAUUAGCUAGUUGGAGAACCAAGGCGACGAUCCGUAACUGGUCUGAGAGGAUGAUCAGUCACACUGGAACUGAGACACGGUCCAGACUCCUACGGGAGGCAGCAGUGGGGAAUAUUGGACAAUGGGCGAAAGCCUGAUCCAGCCAUGCCGCGUGUGUGAAGAAGGUCUUCGGAUUGUAAAGCACUUUAAGUUGGGAGGAAGGGCAGUUACCUAAUACGUGAUUGUUUUGACGUUACCGACAGAAUAAGCACCGGCUAACUCUGUGCCAGCACCCGCGGUAAUACAGAGGGUGCAAGCGUUAAUCGGAAUUACUGGGCGUAAAGCGCGCGUACAGUGGUUUGUUAAGUUGGAUGUGAAAUCCCCGGGCUCAACCUGGGAACUGCAUUCAAAACUGACUGACUAGAGUAUGGUAGAGGGUGGUGGAAUUUCCUGUGUAGCGGUGAAAUGCGUAGAUAUAGGAUGGAACACCAGUGGCGAAGGCGACCACCUGGACUGAUACUGACACUGAAGGUGCGAAAGCGUGGGGAGCAAACAAGAUUAGAUACCCUGGUAGUCCACGCCGUAAACGAUGUCAUCUAACCGUUGAAAUCCUUGAGCUUUUAUUGGCGCACCUAACGCAUUAAGUUGACCGCCCUGGGGAGUACGGCCGCAACGUUAAACUCAAAUGAAUUGACGGGGGCCCGCACAAGCCGGUGGAGCAUGUGGUUUAAUUCAAGCAACGCGAAAAACCUUACCAGCCUUGACAUCCAAUGACUUUCUAGAGAUAAAUUGAUGCCGUUCGGGUAUCAUUUGAGACAGGAGCCUGCAAUGGCCUGUCGUCCAGCUCAUGUCGUGCAAAUGUCUACGGUAAGCUCCGGUAACGAGUCGCACGCCAUUGUCCCUUAACUUUACCAAGCACACG
This 1094-nucleotide ribosomal RNA is filed under the name Pseudomonas sp. Its description in RNAcentral is "bacterial SSU rRNA". It matches the Rfam family "Bacterial small subunit ribosomal RNA", at positions 41 to 1141 of the family's 1533-position model. The record is from RNAcentral. Lineage: Bacteria; Pseudomonadati; Pseudomonadota; Gammaproteobacteria; Pseudomonadales; Pseudomonadaceae.